UACAUGUGGGGCAAGCGUUGUUCGGAAUUACUGGGCAUAAAGGGUGCGUAGGCGGUUUGUUAAGUCACUGGUGAAAGUUUUCGGCCCAACCGGAAAAUUGCCUGUGAUACUGGCGAACUUGAGUGCGUGAGGGGUGGGGGGAACGAGCAGUGUAGCGGUGAAAUGCGUAGAUAUUGCUCGGAAGGCCGGGAGCCGAAGGGGCCCCACUGGUACGUAACUGACGCUGAGGCACGAAAGCGUGGGGAGCAAACAGGG
This 255-nucleotide ribosomal RNA is filed under the name uncultured bacterium. RNAcentral describes it as "partial 16S ribosomal RNA". It matches the Rfam family "Bacterial small subunit ribosomal RNA", at positions 524 to 777 of the family's 1533-position model. The record is from RNAcentral.